AGUGAACGCUGGCGGCAGGCCUAACACAUGCAAGUCGAACGGCAGCACAGUAAGAGCUUGCUCUUACGGUUGGCGAGUGGCGGACGGGUGAGACAUACAUCGCAAUCUUCUUUUUCGUGGGGGAUAACGUAGGGACACUUAUGCUAAUACCGCAUACGUCCUACGGGUGGAAGCAGGGGAUCUUCGGGCCUUGCGCGAUUGAAUGAGCCGGUGUCGGAUUAGCUAGUUGGCGGGGUAAAGGCCCACCAAGGCGACGAUCCGUAGCUGGUCUGAGAGGAUGAUCAGCCACACUGGAACUGAGACACGGUCCAGACUCCUACGGGAGGCAGCAGUGGGGAAUAUUGGACAAUGGGCGCAAGCCUGAUCCAGCCAUGCCGCGUGGGUGAAGAAGGCCUUCGGGUUGUAAAGCCCUUUUGUUGGGAAAGAAAAGCAGCAGGUUAAUACCCCGCUGUUCUGACGGUACCCAAAGAAUAAGCACCGGCUAACUUCGUG
Molecule: ribosomal RNA, 492 nt
Filed under: uncultured bacterium
Lineage: Bacteria
Description: partial 16S ribosomal RNA
Rfam family: Bacterial small subunit ribosomal RNA
Source: RNAcentral